Molecule: ribosomal RNA, 627 nt
Filed under: Triticum aestivum (bread wheat)
Lineage: Eukaryota; Viridiplantae; Streptophyta; Magnoliopsida; Poales; Poaceae
Description: partial small subunit ribosomal RNA
Source: RNAcentral
AUGCCGGCUCCCAGUGCUCCCUCCUCUUCCUACGCGGCGGCCCUUGCCCUCCUCUCUCUUCGGUCCCCUUCGCGCCUCCUCGCGGCUAUCACAGCCAAGGAGCCCGAGCUCGGCGGCGACGGAUCGGAAGGCAGCGUCGGUGCUGGAUCUGGGAGUGGAGGAGCCGCCGCCGUCUCCACUCGCCGGGAACCGGCCAGAUCCGCCCCACGAGCUUCACAGGUGCCACCCCUUCCGCCACCAGCCACCUUCCAUGACAAGCAAUCAAAGGAGCUCCGCCUCCCUCUUCUUCUUCCCCACCCCCACUGGCGACGGAGGCGAGGUGAAAAUUCCCCACCAACCGGAGCGCUUGCCUACCGAUGGAGGUCUCCGUCUGCCAUCUCCCGCCUUGACGGCGCCGUCCCGCCGCGGCGGAGGGUCCCUGUGGCGGCUGCUCCCUUUGGCCCAGCCCGCCUCCCGAGCGGUCUCCGCCAAGUGGAAUGGAAGGUGAAGAAGGUACGUGGCGUGGACGGCGACCGAGGAGGCGGUGUACGAGCUGCGGUAGGCCGCGCUGGUGGAGGACCUGUAGGGGCGGCGGGUGCGGGAGGCCGAGGCGGGCAGGUGUCGCCAAUGGCGGGACGAGCAACUUGA